ACACUCCUACGGGAGGCAGCAGUGAGGAAUAUUGGACAAUGGGUGGAAGCCUGAUCCAGCCAUCCCGCGUGCAGGAAGACGGCCCUAUGGGUUGUAAACUGCUUUUAUCUGGGGAUAAACCUACUUACGUGUAAGUAGCUGAAGGUACCAGAAGAAUAAGCACCGGCUAACUCCGUGCCAGCAGCCGCGGUAAUACGGAGGGUGCAAGCGUUAUCCGGAUUUAUUGGGUUUAAAGGGUCCGUAGGCGGACUGAUAAGUCAGUGGUGAAAUCCGACAGCUUAACUGUCGAACUGCCAUUGAUACUGUUAGUCUUGAGUAAGGUUGAAGUGGCUGGAAUAAGUAGUGUAGCGGUGAAAUGCAUAGAUAUUACUUAGAACACCAAUUGCGAAGGCAGGUCACUAAGUCUUAACUGACGCUGAUGGACGAAAGCGUGGGGAGCGAACAGGAUUAGAAACCCUUGUAGUCCC
Molecule: ribosomal RNA, 467 nt
Filed under: uncultured organism
Description: partial 16S ribosomal RNA
Rfam family: Bacterial small subunit ribosomal RNA
Source: RNAcentral